GCAGUGGGGAAUAUUGGACAAUGGGCGCAAGCCUGAUCCAGCCAUGCCGCGUGUGUGAUGAAGGCCUUAGGGUUGUAAAGCACUUUCACCGGUGAAGAUAAUGACGGUAACCGGAGAAGAAGCCCCGGCUAACUUCGUGCCAGCAGCCGCGGUAAUACGAAGGGGGCUAGCGUUGUUCGGAAUUACUGGGCGUAAAGCGCACGUAGGCGGAUAUUUAAGUCAGGGGUGAAAUCCCAGAGCUCAACUCUGGAACUGCCUUUGAUACUGGGUAUCUUGAGUAUGGAAGAGGUGAGUGGAAUUCCGAGUGUAGAGGUGAAAUUCGUAGAUAUUCGGAGGAACACCAGUGGCGAAGGCGGCUCACUGGUCCAUAACUGACGCUGAGGUGCGAAAGCGUGGGGAGCAAACAGGAUUAGA
RNAcentral lists this ribosomal RNA (414 nucleotides) under uncultured bacterium. RNAcentral's name for it is "bacterial SSU rRNA". It matches the Rfam family "Bacterial small subunit ribosomal RNA", at positions 351 to 782 of the family's 1533-position model. The record is from RNAcentral.